This 691-nucleotide ribosomal RNA is filed under the name uncultured bacterium. RNAcentral's name for it is "bacterial SSU rRNA". It matches the Rfam family "Bacterial small subunit ribosomal RNA", at positions 32 to 715 of the family's 1533-position model. The record is from RNAcentral.
AACGCUAGCUACAGGCUUAACACAUGCAAGUCGAGGGGCAGCAUAGAAGUAGCAAUACUUUGGUGGCGACCGGCGCACGGGUGAGUAACGCGUAUGCAACCUACCUAUCAGAGGGGAAUAACCCGGCGAAAGUCGGACUAAUACCGCAUAAAACAGGGGCACCGCAUGGUGAUAUUUGUUAAAGAAAUUCGCUGAUAGAUGGGCAUGCGUUCCAUUAGGUAGUUGGUGAGGUAACGGCUCACCAAGCCGACGAUGGAUAGGGGAACUGAGAGGUUGGUCCCCCACACUGGUACUGAGACACGGACCAGACUCCUACGGGAGGCAGCAGUGAGGAAUAUUGGUCAAUGGGCGAGAGCCUGAACCAGCCAAGUCGCGUGAAGGAAGAAGGAUCUAUGGUUCGUAAACUUCUUUUGCAGGGGAAUAAAGUGCAGGACGUGUCCUGUUUUGUAUGUACCCUGAGAAUAAGGAUCGGCUAACUCCGUGCCAGCAGCCGCGGUAAUACGGAGGAUCCGAGCGUUAUCCGGAUUUAUUGGGUUUAAAGGGUGCGUAGGUGGUUUAAUAAGUCAGCGGUGAAAGUUUGCAGCUUAACUGUAAAAAUGCCGUUGAAACUGUUAGACUUGAGUGUAAAUGAGGUAGGCGGAAUGCGUGGUGUAGCGGUGAAAUGCUUAGAUAUCACGAAGAACUCCGAUUG